UACAGAGGGGGCAAGCGUUGUUCGGAAUUACUGGGCGUAAAGGGCGCGUAGGCGGCCUUCUAAGUCGAACGUGAAAUCCCCGGGCUCAACCCGGGAACUGCGUCCGAUACUGGAAGGCUUGAAUCCGGGAGAGGGAUGCGGAAUUCCAGGUGUAGCGGUGAAAUGCGUAGAUAUCUGGAGGAACACCGGUGGCGAAGGCGGCAUCCUGGACCGGCAUUGACGCUGAGGCGCGAAAGCCAGGGGAGCAAAGCGGGG
RNAcentral lists this ribosomal RNA (255 nucleotides) under uncultured bacterium. RNAcentral describes it as "partial 16S ribosomal RNA". It matches the Rfam family "Bacterial small subunit ribosomal RNA", at positions 524 to 778 of the family's 1533-position model. The record is from RNAcentral.